GGGAGAGAGUAGGCUAUUCUGUAUAGGGCAUGUAUUUUUGUGUAGUUCCAGUACCUGGGAGUGAAGAAAGAGAUAAUAGUACUUCCGGGUUUGGAGCGAGUAGUCGCGCUGCACUCCGCUCCGCAGAGCUCUGUGAAAGCCUGUCUGCGGAUGAAGAGAUCCCAGUGAAGAAAAGUGGUUCUCAGUCCUGGUCCUGGGGCCUCAAAGAUACCUUGCAACUGGAGAUUCCUUCAAAACGAUUGCCUAAAGUUACCGUGUAGGGCAUUGCACCAUUGGGUGACCAGGGCUAUCUGGGACUGCCUUGUGGGGGAAUUCAGGUGUGUGUGAAGGCUACCUGUGUCCUGCAUAACUUCAUGAGGAUGGACACGAGGACCAGAAGGCGAUCUGCAGCACGUCGCCUUGUGCAAGAGUGGCUCCUUCCACCUUCAAAGAAUGGGCAAGAGGACCAACCAUGAAGAAUGGUUAUAUCAGCUGUGCUGGUGAACCCCUCCCGCAUCUGAACUGGCUACAUAGAGGGCACAGCAUGAUCAGAGGGGAGAGGUAUGUUUUGAUGUGAGAGAGGCUGCCAACGCCCAGUCCCGUCAUCGCCACCUCACCCUCUCUUAACUCUUUUAAGAUAACCUUCUGGGCCAACUAGGUGCCCAAAGCUGGUUAGGAGACACUGCUAGAGACACUAUUAUGUAAUUGUGAUGACCUGAGAGUAGCACUGUAAUUCAUUAAUCAUAUGCUGUCUUCCCUUCUCCUCUGCUGUUACCUC
This 757-nucleotide long non-coding RNA is filed under the name Salmo salar (Atlantic salmon). RNAcentral describes it as "lncRNA (ENSSSAG00000087073.1)". The record is from RNAcentral. Lineage: Eukaryota; Metazoa; Chordata; Actinopteri; Salmoniformes; Salmonidae.